This 253-nucleotide ribosomal RNA is filed under the name uncultured bacterium. Its description in RNAcentral is "partial 16S ribosomal RNA". It matches the Rfam family "Bacterial small subunit ribosomal RNA", at positions 524 to 776 of the family's 1533-position model. The record is from RNAcentral.
GACAGAGGGUGCAAACGUUGUUCGGAAUUACUGGGCGUAAAGCGAGUGUAGGCGGUCUGCUAAGUCGGGUGUGAAAGCCCCGGGCUCAACCCGGGAAGUGCACUCGAAACUGGCAGGCUAGAGUACUGGAGAGGUUGGUGGAAUUCUCGGUGUAGAGGUGAAAUUCGUAGAUAUCGAGAGGAACACCGGUGGCGAAGGCGACUACCUGGCCUGUUCUUGACGCUGAGGCGCGAAAGCUAGGGGAGCAAACGGG